This is a long non-coding RNA of Dermatophagoides farinae (American house dust mite), 651 nucleotides long. RefSeq lists it as uncharacterized. NCBI's taxonomy places the organism in Eukaryota, Metazoa, Arthropoda, Arachnida, Sarcoptiformes, Pyroglyphidae. The record is from RefSeq and is a predicted model, not a curated record.
AUUAUAUUUAAACAUUCGAUUUUUUUCCACAUUGUCUUUUCCACAUCAUCAUCAGUGUGUAUGCAACAUGUACAACAAUAAUGGAUUGGUCUUUUUUUUCAACUGUGGCGGAAUAUUAUUCCAGCGAAGAUACUUCAAGUUCGGAAAUCACUAUAUUUUAAUGAUUAAUAACAAACACAUCAACAAAACUGCUGGCACCAAAUGAAAAUUUUUAUUUAAUAAUGAAGAACUUAAAGAAUUUAUUGAUGAAAAUUGGAAUAAGUGGUAUCGGAGUGAUACUGAGAAAGAUAUCAAACAAUAUUACCGAUGCAACAAGGUGAAAAAGAAUGACAUACAAUGCCGAGCACACAUUUUUAUCUCAUAUGACAAAUUUUCUGAAUCAAUUUAUUUAUACCAAAACAACGAAGAUCAUACAUGUAGCGAAAUCAUCUCAACAAGUAAUCGACUAACAAAAGAAUUGAAAAACAAAAUAACAUCGAUGUAUGAAGAGAAGCAAAAACCAAAACAAAUUUAUGAAAAGCUAAAAGGAGAAGGAAAUGUAUUGAAACAAACCCUGUUUGGGAAGGAUUUCCGUUUUUUGUUAUCGGAACGGUUGACAAAACAAAAAAAUUCCAUCCAAUCGCUUUGUCUAUUUGCUCUGAUGAAUCAAGA